Molecule: ribosomal RNA, 330 nt
Filed under: uncultured Glomeraceae
Lineage: Eukaryota; Fungi; Glomeromycota; Glomeromycetes; Glomerales; Glomeraceae
Description: partial large subunit ribosomal RNA
Source: RNAcentral
CAGUCGUACCUGCGGGUAAUCAGCCUUUUGGGCAUGAUUCUGUGGAGCGUGAGGAGUUAAACGCCUUCAUGCCUGCAUAUUCGUGCUCUUGGGUGUACUUGCUCGUGUGGUUGGUUAACAUCAAUUUCGGUUAUCAUAAAAUGACUGGAGGAAUGUAGCUUCGAUCUCGUAUUGAAGUGUUAUAGCCUUUGGUAGAUGUGAUGUUUGAGACCGAGGAUUGCAACGGAUACCCUUCAGGGCUAUUCGUCUGAUCUCUGAUACGUUGCCCUGAUGUUGAAAGCUUGCUUAUGAUGUUAGGGUAUUACGGUCAAAAGGUUAGAACGAAUUACA